Molecule: ribosomal RNA, 467 nt
Filed under: uncultured bacterium
Lineage: Bacteria
Description: partial 16S ribosomal RNA
Rfam family: Bacterial small subunit ribosomal RNA
Source: RNAcentral
GACGAACGCUGGCGGCGUGCUUAACACAUGCAAGUCGAACGGAAAGGCCCUGCUUUUGUGGGGUGCUCGAGUGGCGAACGGGUGAGUAACACGUGAGUAACCUGCCCUUGACUUUGGGAUAACUUCAGGAAACUGGGGCUAAUACCGGAUAGGAGCUCCUGCUGCAUGGUGGGGGUUGGAAAGUUUCGGCGGUUGGGGAUGGACUCGCGGCUUAUCAGCUUGUUGGUGGGGUAGUGGCUUACCUAGGCUUUGACGGGUAGCCGGCCUGAGAGGGUGACCGGCCACAUUGGGACUGAGAUACGGCCCAGACUCCUACGGGAGGCAGCAGUGGGGAAUAUUGCACAAUGGGCGGAAGCCUGAUGCAGCAACGCCGCGUGCGGGAUGACGGCCUUCGGGUUGUAAACCGCUUUCGCCUGUGACGAAGCGUGAGUGACGGUAAUGGGUAAAGAAGCACCGGCUAACUACGU